RNAcentral lists this ribosomal RNA (253 nucleotides) under uncultured bacterium. RNAcentral's name for it is "partial 16S ribosomal RNA". It matches the Rfam family "Bacterial small subunit ribosomal RNA", at positions 524 to 776 of the family's 1533-position model. The record is from RNAcentral.
UACGAAGGGACCUAGCGUAGUUCGGAAUUACUGGGCGUAAAGCGCACGUAGGCGGAUUGGAAAGUUGGGGGUGAAAUCCCGGGGCUCAACCCCGGAACUGCCUCCAAAACUAUCAGUCUAGAGUUCGAGAGAGGUGAGUGGAAUUCCAAGUGUAGAGGUGAAAUUCGUAGAUAUUUGGAGGAACACCAGUGGCGAAGGCGGCUCACUGGCUCGAUACUGACGCUGAGGUGCGAAAGUGUGGGGAGCAAACAGG